This 460-nucleotide ribosomal RNA is filed under the name uncultured bacterium. RNAcentral describes it as "partial 16S ribosomal RNA". It matches the Rfam family "Bacterial small subunit ribosomal RNA", at positions 338 to 795 of the family's 1533-position model. The record is from RNAcentral.
CCUACGGGUGACAGCAGUGAGGAAUAUUGGUCAAUGGGCGUAAGCCUGAACCAGCCAAGUCGCGUGAGGGAUGAAGGUUCUAUGGAUCGUAAACCUCUUUUAUAAGGGAAUAAAGUGUGGGACGUGUCCUGUUUUGUAUGUACCUUAUGAAUAAGGAUCGGCUAACUCCGUGCCAGCAGCCGCGGUAAUACGGAGGAUCCGAGCGUUAUCCGGAUUUAUUGGGUUUAAAGGGUGCGUAGGCGGCCUUUUAAGUCAGCGGUGAAAGUCUGUGGCUCAACCAUAGAAGUGCCGUUGAAACUGGGAGGCUUGAGUAUGUUUGAGGAAGGCGGAAUGCGUGGUGUAGCGGUGAAAUGCUUAGAUAUCACGCAGAACCCCGAUUGCGAAGGCAGCCUGCCAGGCCAUGACUGACGCUGAUGCACGAAAGCGUGGGGAUCAAACAGGAGUAGAGACCCUAGUAGUC